GACGAACGCUGGCGGCGUGCUUAACACAUGCAAGUCGAACGGAAAGGCCCUGCUUUUGUGGGGUGCUCGAGUGGCGAACGGGUGAGUAACACGUGAGUCACCUGCCCUUGACUUUGGGAUAACUUCAGGAAACUGGGGCUAAUACCGGAUAGGAGCUCCUGCUGCAUGGUGGGGGUUGGAAAGUUUCGGCGGUUGGGGAUGGACUCGCGGCUUAUCAGCUUGUUGGUGGGGUAGUGGCUUACCAAGGCGUUGACGGGUAGCCGGCCUGGGAGGGUGACCGGCCACAGUGGGACUGAGAUACGGCCCAGACUCCUGCGGGAGGCAGCAGGGGGGAAGAUUGCAAAAGGGGCGGAAGCCUGAUGCAGCAACGCCGCGGGCGGGAUGACGGCCUUCGGGUUGUAGACCGCUUUCGCCUGGGACGAAGCGGGAGGGACGGUAAUGGGUAAAGAAGCACCGGCUAACUACGUG
This 468-nucleotide ribosomal RNA is filed under the name uncultured bacterium. RNAcentral's name for it is "partial 16S ribosomal RNA". It matches the Rfam family "Bacterial small subunit ribosomal RNA", at positions 28 to 507 of the family's 1533-position model. The record is from RNAcentral.